GUCCACGCCGUAAACGAUGAAUACUAGUUAUUGGGGGUAUUGACUCCCUCAGUGACGCAGCUAACGCAUUAAGUAUUCCGCCUGGGGAGUACGGUCGCAAGACUAAAACUCAAACAAAUUGACGGGGGCCCGCACAAGCGGUGGAUUAUGUGGUUUAAUUCGAAGCAACGCGCAGAACCUUACCUAGGCUUGAACUCCUACGAAUCCGGAGUAAUGUCUGGAGUGUCCGCAAGGAAAUGUAGUGAGAGGUGCUGCAUGGCUGUCGU
This 266-nucleotide ribosomal RNA is filed under the name uncultured bacterium. Its description in RNAcentral is "partial 16S ribosomal RNA". It matches the Rfam family "Bacterial small subunit ribosomal RNA", at positions 793 to 1055 of the family's 1533-position model. The record is from RNAcentral.